RNAcentral lists this ribosomal RNA (837 nucleotides) under uncultured Bacillota bacterium. RNAcentral's name for it is "bacterial SSU rRNA". It matches the Rfam family "Bacterial small subunit ribosomal RNA", at positions 1 to 799 of the family's 1533-position model. The record is from RNAcentral. Lineage: Bacteria; Bacillati; Bacillota.
AUUCAGGAGAGUUUGAUCCUGGCUCAGGAUAAACGCUUGGCGGCGCACAUAAGAACAUGCAAGUCGAACGGAAGUCGUUGUAAUGAUGUGGACAUGAACAGAGAACUUGUUCAAAGGGAGUGAAAAUUGACUUACAACAAUGGCUUUAGUGGCGGACUGGUGAGUAAUACGUAAGCAACCUGCCUAUUAGAGGGGAACAACAGUUAGAAAUGACUGCUAAUACCGCAUAUGCCAUAGUAACCACAUGGUUACAGUGGGAAAGGAGCAAUCCGCUAAUAGAUGGGCUUACGGCUGAUUAGCUAGUUGGUGGGGUAAAGGCCUACCAAGGCGACGAUCAGUAGCCGGACUGAGAGGUUAAACGGCCACAUUGGGACUGAGAUACGGCCCAGACUCCUACGGGAGGCAGCAGUCGGGAAUUUUGCGCAAUGGAGGAAACUCUGACGCAGUGACGCCGCGUGCAGGAAGAAGGUUUUCGGAUUGUAAACUGCUUUAGACAGGGAAGAAAAAGGACAGUACCUGUAGAAUAAGCUCCGGCUAACUACGUGCCAGCAGCCGCGGUAAUACGUAGGGAGCAAGCGUUAUCCGGAUUUAUUGGGUGUAAAGGGUGCGUAGACGGGAUAGUAAGUUAGCUGUGAAAUCCCUCUGCUUAACAGAGGAACUGCAACUAAAACUGUUAUUCUUGAGUACUGGAGAGGAAAGUGGAAUUCCUAGUGUAGCGGUGAAAUGCGUAGAUAUUAGGAGGAACACCAGUGGCGAAGGCGACUUUCUGGACAGAAACUGACGUUGAGGCACGAAAGUGUGGGGAGCAAACAGGAUUAGAUACCCUGGUAGUCCCCU